RNAcentral lists this ribosomal RNA (253 nucleotides) under uncultured prokaryote. RNAcentral's name for it is "partial 16S ribosomal RNA". It matches the Rfam family "Bacterial small subunit ribosomal RNA", at positions 525 to 777 of the family's 1533-position model. The record is from RNAcentral.
ACGGAGGGUGCGAGCGUUGUCCGGAAUCACUGGGCGUAAAGGGCGCGUAGGCGGCCUGAUAAGUAGGGGGUGAAAUCCUGCGGCUUAACCGCAGGGCUGCCUUCUAAACUGUCAGGCUGGAGCACAGUAGAGGCAGGUGGAAUUCCCGGUGUAGCGGUGGAAUGCGUAGAGAUCCGGAAGAACACCGGUGGCGAAGGCGGCCUGCUGGGUUCUGGCUGACACUGAGGCGCGACAGCGUGGGGAGCAAACAGGA